GGAGAAAUACCCAAGAGGUCGAAGGGGCUCCCCUGCUAAGGGAGUAGGCUGGGCAACCGGCGCGAGGGUUCAAAUCCCUCUUUCUCCGCCA
This 91-nucleotide transfer RNA is filed under the name Eubacteriales bacterium SKADARSKE-1. RNAcentral's name for it is "tRNA-Ser". It matches the Rfam family "tRNA". Rfam says of the family: Transfer RNA (tRNA) molecules are approximately 80 nucleotides in length. Lineage: Bacteria; Bacillati; Bacillota; Clostridia; Eubacteriales. The record is from RNAcentral.